This 213-nucleotide long non-coding RNA is filed under the name Lathyrus oleraceus (garden pea). Its description in RNAcentral is "Pisum sativum (pea) long non-coding RNA (PSAT_LNC014255)". Lineage: Eukaryota; Viridiplantae; Streptophyta; Magnoliopsida; Fabales; Fabaceae. The record is from RNAcentral.
AUGAUUAUUGUUACUUUUUCAACAACAAUUCUCCUUUUAUCUAUAAUAUUCUUAAUUAUUUAUUAUAUUUAUUUUACUUUUUCUCUCAAUGUAAUAAUUAUUUAAGGGUAAUUUUGGCAAAAGCUCAAAUAAUACUACAUUGAACUUUUCAAGUGACAAUUAAAAAGGAACAAAUCAAAAUAAUAGAUUACAAGAAAAGAGGAUAAAAAAAGU